Molecule: long non-coding RNA, 553 nt
Filed under: Salvia miltiorrhiza (redroot sage)
Lineage: Eukaryota; Viridiplantae; Streptophyta; Magnoliopsida; Lamiales; Lamiaceae
Description: long non-coding RNA (SMIL_LNC010348)
Source: RNAcentral
AAAGAAAAGCCACGUAGUUAGUCUCCUUCAUCAUUUUCCUAUACCUCUUGCUUUUACAAACCCUAGCCUCUUUCCUUCUCCCUCUCCAACAGAGCUCCUUUCCUUAAUUUUGUAAUUCUUAACGUAAUAUCUAAUGGUUGGCCCGUAUCUAUCGAGGUAUUCCACAAAUCUAUCCCUCACAACUAUUUUGUAUUUUUUCAAAAUUAAAUAAAAAGAAUUAAUCGAGAUGGCUUAUGGUGUUUUUGUGGGUGCGGUUUGAUUUGGGAUAAUUGAUCGCAGAAAGGGAUUAAAUACCAGAUCGACGGCUUUUGAUGGCAAUUCAGAUGAGUUUUAGGUGUGAAUCGAGCACGACUUUGACGAGGAGGUCAGCUGUCUUCGCAAGCAAGUUCGAUGGUUAUGUGAUGUAGUUUUUCUUUUUAAUUCCUUCUUUAUUGUUCUCUGUGGGGGUUAAUUGCAUAAAAUGUUGCCAAACUAUGCUACUUGUAUCAAAUUUGUUACCAAACUUUAAUUUGUUUCAAAACAAAUACUCCUACUAAACUUGUAUUUUUCGGUA